RNAcentral lists this long non-coding RNA (649 nucleotides) under Salmo salar (Atlantic salmon). RNAcentral describes it as "lncRNA (ENSSSAG00000097949.1)". Lineage: Eukaryota; Metazoa; Chordata; Actinopteri; Salmoniformes; Salmonidae. The record is from RNAcentral.
CAGAGAUACUGGAGUGAUGGAGGUAGAUAUGUAUAGGGGGAAGGGGACAGGGAUACUGGAGUGAUGGAGGUAGAUAUGUAUAGGGGACAGGGAUACUGGAGUGAUGGAGGUAGAUAUGUAUAGGGGGAAGGGGACAGGGAUACUGGAGUGAUGGAGGUAGAUAUGUAUAGGGGGAAGGGGACAGGGAUACUGGAGUGAUGGAGGUAGAUAUGUAUAGGGGAAAGGGGACAGGGAUACUGGAGUGAUGGAGGUAGAUAUGUAUAGGGGACAGGGAUACUGGAGUGAUGGAGUGAUGGAGGUAGAUAUGUAUAGAGGGAAGGAGACAGGGAUACUGGAGUGAUGGAGGUAGAUAUGUAUAGGGGGAAGGAGACAGGGAUACUGGAGUGAUGGAGGUAGAUAUGUAUAGGGGACAGGGAUACUGGAGUGAUGGAGGUAGAUAUGUAUAGGGGGAAGGGGACAGGGAUACUGGAGUGAUGGAGGUAGAUAUGUAUAGGGGACAGGGAUACUGGAGUGAUGGAGGUAGAUAUGUAUGGGGGAAGGGGACAGGGAUACUGGAGUGAUGGAGGUAGAUAUGUAUAGGGGGAAGGAGACAGGGAUACUGGAGUGAUGGAGGUAGAUAUGUAUAGGGGGAAGGGGACAGGGAUACUGG